UUCCAACUCCUGUGCUUUCUCCUUAGACAAAGCUCCCCAUCUAAUCCGCGGUUGACCCUGGGCGCCCCUCCGCUUCUUCUUCACCCAGAGAUCGACGUCCAUCACUAGUAGUCUAUGAAGAGUUGAAAGAGACUCUCCCGGAAUAACCUUGCAGUCCUUGCACAAGCCCCUAUCGCUCGUUCGGAUGAGGAUGUAGUCAAUCUGAGUCCUCGCCGCCGAACUCUUGAAGGUGACCAAAUGCUCCUCCCUUUUCCGGAAUGUCGAGUUCGCCAAUUAGGAGCUCGGAGGCCCUGGCGAAAUCAAGCCGCUAGCGAAGUGCCUCCUCCGUUCCUGACACCAAAGCCAAAGCCCCCGUGCACCUCGUCAUUUCCACCAGCCUCAGCCCCAAUAUGACCAUUAAAGUCCCCUCCAAUAACUAACUUCUCAGACUGGGGAACUCCCCACCAGAUCAUCCAAGUCCUCCCAAUAGCGCCUUUUAGCCUCCUCGUCUAAGCCUGCGUGUGGCGCGUAAGCGCUGAUGACGUUGAGGACUCCACCCCCGAUAACCAGCUUAAUAGACAUUAACUUGUCAUUCACUCGCCUAACCUCGACCACGGACUCCCUU
This 604-nucleotide long non-coding RNA is filed under the name Nicotiana benthamiana. RNAcentral's name for it is "long non-coding RNA (NBEN_LNC031013)". Lineage: Eukaryota; Viridiplantae; Streptophyta; Magnoliopsida; Solanales; Solanaceae. The record is from RNAcentral.